UCGGGAAUUUUGGGCAAUGGGCGAAAGCCUGACCCAGCGACGCCGCGUGAGGGAUGAAGUAUUUCGGUAUGUAAACCUCGAAAGAAUGGGAAGAAUAAAUGACGGUACCAUUUAUAAGCUCCGGCUAACUACGUGCCAGCAGCCGCGGUAAUACGUAGGGAGCAAGCGUUGUUCGGAUUUACUGGGCGUAAAGGGCGCGUAGGCGGCGCGGUAAGUCACUUGUGAAAUCUCUGAGCUUAACUCAGAACGGCAAAGUGAUACUGCUGUGCUAGAGUGCGGAAGAGGCUACCGGAAUUCUUGGUGUAGCGGUGAAAUGCGUAGAUAUCAAGAGGAACACCUGAGGCGGAGGCGGGUUGCUGGGCCGACACUGACGCUGAUGCGCGAAAGCCAGGGGAGCAAACG
Molecule: ribosomal RNA, 402 nt
Filed under: uncultured bacterium
Lineage: Bacteria
Description: bacterial SSU rRNA
Rfam family: Bacterial small subunit ribosomal RNA
Source: RNAcentral